AACGAACGCUGGCGGCAGGCUUAACACAUGCAUGUCGAACGGAUCCUUCGGGAUUAGUGGCAGACGGGUGAGUAACGCGUGGGAACGUACCCUUUGCUACGGAAUAACUCAGGGAAACUUGAGCUAAUACCGUAUGUGCCCUACGGGGGAAAGAUUUAUCGGCAAAGGAUCGGCCCGCGUUGGAUUAGCUAGUUGGUGGGGUAAUGGCCUACCAAGGCGACGAUCCAUAGCUGGUCUGAGAGGAUGAUCAGCCACACUGGGACUGAGACACGGCCCAGACUCCUACGGGAGGCAGCAGUGGGGAAUAUUGGACAAUGGGCGCAAGCCUGAUCCAGCCAUGCCGCGUGAGUGAUGAAGGUCUUAGGAUUGUAAAGCUCUUUCACCGGUGAAGAUAAUGACGGUAGCCGGAGAAGAAGCCCCGGCUAACUUCGUG
RNAcentral lists this ribosomal RNA (433 nucleotides) under uncultured bacterium. Its description in RNAcentral is "partial 16S ribosomal RNA". It matches the Rfam family "Bacterial small subunit ribosomal RNA", at positions 29 to 507 of the family's 1533-position model. The record is from RNAcentral.